Molecule: ribosomal RNA, 497 nt
Filed under: uncultured bacterium
Lineage: Bacteria
Description: partial 16S ribosomal RNA
Rfam family: Bacterial small subunit ribosomal RNA
Source: RNAcentral
GAUGAACGCUGGCGGCGUGCCUAAUACAUGCAAGUCGAGCGAACGGACGAGAAGCUUGCUUCUCUGAUGUUAGCGGCGGACGGGUGAGUAACACGUGGAUAACCUACCUAUAAGACUGGGAUAAAUUCGGGAAACCGGAGCUAAUACCGGAUAAUAUUUUGAACCGCAUGGUUCAAAAGUGAAAGACGGUCUUGCUGUCACUUAUAGAUGGAUCCGCGCUGCAUUAGCUAGUUGGUAAGGUAACGGCUUACCAAGGCAACGAUGCAUAGCCGACCUGAGAGGGUGAUCGGCCACACGGGGACUGAGACACGGUCCAGACUCCUACGGGAGGCAGCAGUAGGGAAUCUUCCGCAAUGGGCGAAAGCCUGACGGAGCAACGCCGCGUGAGUGAUGAAGGUCUUCGGAUCGUAAAACUCUGUUAUUAGGGAAGAACAUAUGUGUAAGUAACUGUGCACAUCUUGACGGUACCUAAUCAGAAAGCCACGGCUAACUACGUG